RNAcentral lists this transfer RNA (79 nucleotides) under Bacteroidia bacterium. RNAcentral's name for it is "tRNA-His". It matches the Rfam family "tRNA". Rfam says of the family: Transfer RNA (tRNA) molecules are approximately 80 nucleotides in length. Their secondary structure includes four short double-helical elements and three loops (D, anti-codon, and T loops). Lineage: Bacteria; Pseudomonadati; Bacteroidota; Bacteroidia. The record is from RNAcentral.
GGUGAACGUAGCUCAGUCGGUUAGAGCAUCAGAUUGUGGUUCUGAGGGUCGUGGGUUCGAGCCCCAUCUUUCACCCCCA